RNAcentral lists this ribosomal RNA (512 nucleotides) under uncultured bacterium. Its description in RNAcentral is "partial 16S ribosomal RNA". It matches the Rfam family "Bacterial small subunit ribosomal RNA", at positions 28 to 523 of the family's 1533-position model. The record is from RNAcentral.
GACGAACGCUGGCGGCGUGCCUAAUACAUGCAAGUCGAGCGGAACUGGGGGAGCUUGCUCCUUCCAGUUUAGCGGCGGACGGGUGAGUAACACGUAGGCAACCUGCCCUGCAGAUCGGGAUAACUCCGGGAAACCGGUGCUAAUACCGAAUAGUUUGGCGCCUCUCCUGAGGCGCUACGGAAAGACGGUUUCGGCUGUCACUGCAGGAUGGGCCCGCGGCGCAUUAGCUAGUUGGUGGGGUAACGGCCCACCAAGGCGACGAUGCGUAGCCGACCUGGGAGGGUGACCGGCCACACUGGGACUGGUACACGGCCCAGACUCCUACGGGAGGCAGCAGUAGGGAAUCUUCCGCAAUGGACGCAAGUCUGACGGAGCAACGCCGCGUGAGUGACGAAGGUUUUCGGAUCGUAAAACUCUGUUGUGAGGGAAGAACACGUACCAACUAACUAUUGGUACCUUGACGGUACCUCGCCAGAAAGCCACGGCUAACUACGUGCCAGCAGCCGCAGUAA